RNAcentral lists this ribosomal RNA (762 nucleotides) under Silene delicatula. RNAcentral's name for it is "eukaryotic LSU rRNA". Lineage: Eukaryota; Viridiplantae; Streptophyta; Magnoliopsida; Caryophyllales; Caryophyllaceae. The record is from RNAcentral.
GUCGCGAGAAAGUUCACUGAACCUUAUCAUUUAGAGGAAGGAGAAGUCGUAACAAGGUUUCCGUAGGUGAACCUGCGGAAGGAUCAUUGUCGAAACCUGCCCAGCAGAGCGACCCGUGAACAUGUUCAACCUCGUGGGUGUUGGGGCGUUGCUAGGCGCCUUGUGUGCCUUCUUCGUCCCUCUCCCAAGCCGGUGGGCGCUCACUCGUGAGUUGUCCCUCGGCAAAACAACGAACCCCGGCGCGUAAAGCGUCAAGGAAUAUAAACUUUAUGUGUGUACUCACCCGUUGCCUGGUUAGCCGGGCUUUGGUGUGGUGCCAUGUCUUAACAAUAAACGACUCUCGGCAACGGAUAUCUCGGCUCUCGCAUCGAUGAAGAACGUAGCGAAAUGCGAUACUUGGUGUGAAUUGCAGAAUCCCGUGAACCAUCGAGUUUUUGAACGCAAGUUGCGCCCGAAGCCUCGGCUGAGGGCACGUCUGCCUGGGCGUCACGCAUCGCGUCUCCCCCAAUUCCACCCUUGGUGGAGGGGAAGGAUGAUGGUUUCCCGUGACUCACCGGUCGCGGCUGGCCUAAAAAUGGAGCCCUCGRCAUUGAGAUGCCGCGACGAUAGGUGGUGAACAAGGCCUCGGCCAAGCAAGCAACCCGUCGCGCAUCGCCAUGCCAUUGUGUGCUCGUUGGACCCUUUGACGUUGCCUUACGGCAACAAAACCGUUGCGACCCCAGGUCAGGCGGGGCUACCCGCUGAAUUUAAGCAUAUCAAUAA